CAGGCUGUUCUCAUGGCGUAAGACGCGGUGUCUGUGUGGUCAAUGUUCCCUACACGUCUGACUGAGGACAGCUGCACUGCCUUCACCUCUCAGCUCCAACACUGGCAAACCUUCCCUGACUUCCCCAGGCAGAUGAUUUGUUCUUUCUCUUUUGAGUCCUCUGCAGUUUCAAAUACUGCCAUUUUUAUAAUUGCCUUGUUUUAUUUUAUCACGUCUCUCAGUCUGUGUCUCCCACUGGGCUGUGAACUCUACGGCAGAAGAACGACUCCUCAUUUGUUUGCUGGCUACCUGGAACCUCAGACAGGCCUGGCACUCAGAGUGCUCAAGAAAUAUUUUUGGGGGCCGACCCAGUGGUGCAGCAGUUAAGUGCUCACAUUCUGCUUCCCAGUGGCCCAGGGUUCACGGGUUCAGGUCCCGGGUGCGGACACGGCACCGCUUGGCACACCAUGCUGAGAUAACACUUAAUUUGUUCAAGUCACACAGUAAAGGCUGAAGUUGCAAACUGAACUCCGGUCUGACUCCAAAACUCAUCUCGUUCAUCACGAGCUACAUUGCCUCUGGUUCCAGGCACGGGGCAAGCAGUAUUUGGGAUGCUGUAUCCUUUGUUAUAGGGCUGAGUGGCUUGGCAAGGACUCAGACUGAGAACUGGCUCCUACUUUAGACUGGCGCAGGCACUGAAGAGAUGAAGAAGCCAUCUGUGGCAGGGAAAUCUGGGAGCGGUGACAGCCAUGGUAACCAUCUGGCCUGCUGGACUGCUUCUUGAGUGCAGGACCAUGUCUGAUUCAAGUCUACAUCCAGAGCACAUAGAGCAAGUUCUGGGACAUAAAAUAAAAAAGAGUCGCUCAAGAGAGAAUCCAUCCAUCCAUCAGUUGAAUGCCUUCACAGUCCGUCAAAGAACUCUUGCUGACUGAUCAUGCUAUUGCUCUCUCUGCCAAUGGAAUUGCAACUGCUUCCUAGUCCCCUAAUCACCGUCUAUUCCUUAACCACCCCCUAUAGGACAGGACCACUAUUCUGGGAGGUCUUUCAGACUUAUCUAGAACGUGGCAUGUUUCCUGACAUCCAUACCAACAUUUAGGUCUGGGCUCUGCUUCUAACUCAUUGUCUGUGAUGGCACGUCUUUAGGUCUUGUAGCGCCGUUUUUAAAAAGGAACAGUUUUGCAAUAUGAUUUCUGAAGUCUCUUCUAACCCGAGUGUGCUAGAAUUUUCUGUCUGGAAUCUAGAAUUUCUGGUAAAGAUGAGACAGACUUAUUCGAGGCCUUCAUAUCGGCAUCAUAUGGCCUGUUGGUUGGAGCCUGGAUGAUGAGCCACUGUAGUCUGGGCUUUUCCUGAGGUCUGCCUUGCUGGUGGCAGAGUUUCUUUAACAGUCGUGCUCCAGCAGGCUCUGGCCACCCCCACGGGCAACUCAGUGAAUACUGGCUGCCUGAUGGAUGUGUUAGAUGGGAAGCCAACUGGAUGAAGGAUGCGUGAGGAGCCCUGGAAAACACAGUGGUUCAAAGGGGAGGGCUGCGCCGAGCAGGUUCCCAAAUGUGCUUACCCGCCCAGGCUCUGAACGCGAGCUCCGUUGGAAAAACACGUGUUUCUGACUCCAAGGGAAAGGCUCUAGGAAUAAUAAUAAUAAAAGGGGCUUUGAAAGCUUCUUGGAAAUCAGCUUCUAUAAAAUAGUGUUUUGAGAAAUUGAGCGCAAGUCAAGCAGAAACAUGGAUUGAAAUUCUCCCUUCGCAUACUCAUUCUUUUAAAAUAUUUUAUUUUUAAAUAUGAAAAUAAUCUGUGCAUAUGGCUAAAGAAUCCAAACAGUAAAGAAAAGCACAGAAUUCAAAGCAAAAAUCUCCCUUCCUUCCUCUCUUUUCAUGUCUCAUGAGGUAACAGUUUAUUUCUGUUUUGUGUGCGAUUACUAUGUGAGUUUAUAAAAAUUAAAAAAAAUUAUUGUGGUAAAAUAUGCAUAACAUAAAAUUUACCAUUUUAACCAUUUUUGAGUGUAUAUAGUUCAUUGGCAUUAAGUACAUUCACAUUGUUGUGCAACC
RNAcentral lists this long non-coding RNA (2021 nucleotides) under Equus caballus (horse). RNAcentral's name for it is "lncRNA (ENSECAG00000056383.1)". Lineage: Eukaryota; Metazoa; Chordata; Mammalia; Perissodactyla; Equidae. The record is from RNAcentral.